This 438-nucleotide ribosomal RNA is filed under the name uncultured Trichocomaceae. RNAcentral describes it as "eukaryotic LSU rRNA". The stretch from base 1 to 99 matches the Rfam family "5.8S ribosomal RNA", at positions 56 to 154 of the family's 154-position model. Lineage: Eukaryota; Fungi; Ascomycota; Eurotiomycetes; Eurotiales; Trichocomaceae. The record is from RNAcentral.
CGAUAGGUAAUGUGAAUUGCAGAAUUCCGUGAAUCAUCGAAUCUUUGAACGCACCUUGCGCUCUAUGGCAAUCCGUAGAGCAUGCCUGUUUGAGUGCCAUGAAAUCUCCCACCCCAAGCGGCUUUUAAAUGAAACGGCUUGGCGGAUGGGGUCUGGAUGGGUGCCUCUGCCUGCGCUACCUAGCACAGGCUCGCCCGAAAUGCAUGAGCGCCUUGAGACACUUUGCAUCCGCCUCUCUGUUUGGGAGGAGGCGGCCAAGCAGUGUUUUUCUCCUGGCAUGGCAUGAUACGUCAUUUGCUAUGUCACCUAAAGGAGGAAUGUUUGGUUGUGUCUGCGUGUGCUUCAAACUUGCCUCUGUGGCACAUCCCAAUUUCACUUCUGGUCUCAAAUCAGGUAGGAUCACCCGCUGAACUUAAGCAUAUCAAUAAGCGGAGGAAA